AGGAGACUAAUCUUGACAGAAGAAAAAAAAAAAACUUAACUGUAUUCUUAUCUGGUACACAAACAAAAGUCAAAAGUAUUGGUCAAAUUUCCAAGUAGAUGAAGCUCUCACUCUCAUCCAUAAACUUCAAGUCAAAAUUGCAUUCUUUAUGCAACCAAAGGCGUGGUACUCCUGUGAUUUCAAC
Molecule: small RNA, 184 nt
Filed under: Arabidopsis thaliana (thale cress)
Lineage: Eukaryota; Viridiplantae; Streptophyta; Magnoliopsida; Brassicales; Brassicaceae
Description: ATSL124140
Source: RNAcentral